Molecule: small nucleolar RNA, 104 nt
Organism: Otolemur garnettii (small-eared galago)
Lineage: Eukaryota; Metazoa; Chordata; Mammalia; Primates; Galagidae
Source: Ensembl
AUCCUUUUGUAGUUCAUAAGUAUGAUGAGCAUACAUUAUUUCAUGGGCAUGAGUAAAUGUGCCUCCCACAAAUCUUAUAGCAUCAGCACAUUACCUGUCUGACA